This 515-nucleotide ribosomal RNA is filed under the name uncultured bacterium. Its description in RNAcentral is "partial 16S ribosomal RNA". It matches the Rfam family "Bacterial small subunit ribosomal RNA", at positions 28 to 523 of the family's 1533-position model. The record is from RNAcentral.
GACGAACGCUGGCGGCGUGCCUAAUACAUGCAAGUCGAGCGAAUGGAUUAAGAGCUUGCUCUUAUGAAGUUAGCGGCGGACGGGUGAGUAACACGUGGGUAACCUGCCCAUAAGACUGGGAUAACUCCGGGAAACCGGGGCUAAUACCGGAUAACAUUUUGAACCGCAUGGUUCGAAAUUGAAAGGCGGCUUCGGCUGUCACUUAUGGAUGGACCCGCGUCGCAUUAGCUAGUUGGUGAGGUAACGGCUCACCAAGGCAACGAUGCGUAGACGACCUGAGAGGGUGAUCGGCCACACUGGGACUGAGACACGGCCCAGACUCCUCCGGGAGGCAGCAGUAGGGAAUCUUCCGCAAUGGACGAAAGUCUGACGGAGCAACGCCGCGUGAGUGAUGAAGGCUUUCGGGUCGUAAAACUCUGUUGUUAGGGAAGAACAAGUGCUAGUUGAAUAAGCUGGCACCUUGACGGUACCUAACCAGAAAGCCACGGCUAACUACGUGCCAGCCGCCGCGGUAA